This is a long non-coding RNA of Bufo bufo (common toad), 284 nucleotides long. RefSeq lists it as uncharacterized. The record is from RefSeq and is a predicted model, not a curated record. The transcript has 4 exons. Lineage: Eukaryota; Metazoa; Chordata; Amphibia; Anura; Bufonidae.
GGGUGAUUCACAGCAGUCAGGGGAUGACGGAGGAUGUGCAGUGGAUAUCAAAGACCCUCCUAUUCUUCUCAGAAAAAUGCCUCCGAACCAAAGCCAGAAAUGGAUUCGAAAGGAAUGGGAAAUAUAAAAGGAAGGACUUAUACAUCUUCUUCCCAUUGGAUCCCACCUCUGACUUUGGCUCCAAAAAACUGCAGUGUUGUUUUCCCAAAAAACACUAUUUGUGGAACCACCCUUAGAUAAUUUUUACACCAUUUCCAUCCCCCCCCCCCCCAAAAAAAAAAAAC